CCUACGGGGCGCAGCAGUUAGGAAUAUUGGGCAAUGGAGGAAACUCUGACCCAGCAACGCCGCGUGAAGGAAGAAGGUUUUCGGAUUGUAAACUUCUGAUCUUGGGGAAAAAGAAAGUGAUGGUACCCAAGGAGAAAGCCACGGCUAACUACGUGCCAGCAGCCGCGGUAAUACGUAGGUGGCGAGCGUUGUCCGGAAUGACUGGGCGUAAAGGGAGCGUAGGUUGUUGUUUAAGUUAAAUGUGAAAGCCCGCGGCUCAACUGCGGAACUGCAUUUAAUACUGGACAACUAGAGUGCAGGAGGGG
RNAcentral lists this ribosomal RNA (305 nucleotides) under uncultured bacterium. RNAcentral describes it as "bacterial SSU rRNA". It matches the Rfam family "Bacterial small subunit ribosomal RNA", at positions 338 to 657 of the family's 1533-position model. The record is from RNAcentral.